ACAUGGCUGUCCUGUUUGCAGAACGCUGAUUGGUUGACAGAGCUCUAAGCGUUUGCACUUGUCACAACAAACCUGAGGGCACGAGAUAUUGGGACUCCCCCGUCAGCUUUUUGUGGUAUUUUAAUAUUCAGGUCACUGCCUCCCACGUUGGGCUUUGUGAAAUUUAUCAUUUGCUAUAUUCAUUCGCUGCGAUUUGCGUCUUAUUUCGUGUAUAAACGAAAUGGAGCCAGCCACCGACGGAAAAGGUCUCGAAAAACGUCUCAAAGUGGCCGCUUUAGCAUGGGCUUGUACACUCACAGGAGCAACGGGUUUUGAAACUCCCGAACCACCGCCAGAGGAUGAUGAAACCAAGAUUCAAAGAUGGCAAGAAGGAAAGAGCGAUGUAAACGAAGCCAAAUGAUGAGAGUGCUUCGUGUUUGAAGGAUAAACUCGGAAAUGAAUACACUAUUUCACUGGAUCAGAUCGCAUGAACGCCGAGAAAGUGCUUUAACCUGCUUAGAAAUAGCCAGCAGUGGAUUUCUGGUUGAUAGGAUAAAAGAGUUGCAUUGUUAGAACUGAGAUAUUUCAGAACCAAAAAUCCCUUGUAACAUAUAAGUACUUUAGGCGAGAUCGACUGAAAAGUUGGAAAUUGAAACGUAGCGUUAUUUAAGAGGCCGUCAUAAUAAAAAUUCAUGUAUUCAAUAAUUGCCGAUGGCCACACGUCACCUGGUUUGUUUCAUUUUCGUUUUUGCGAAAAAUGCUCUGUUUGAAACGUUUUUGCCCAAACACGUCCCCUCUAAUUAACUACUAUCUCUCAUCAAUAUCAUACCCGGUCAUUACCUUACAGCGCUCAGUGUUUAAAAACUUGUUGGUCUGUUUUGCUUGUAAACAUGAACUUAAACGCAGGUCUCUAUCUUCUGUUCAACAUCAAUAAAAUCAAACUAUAAGGCAAAUAACUGUUCGUUGUGAUAUGAUUACAGUUUAAAUCGCUACUUUGAAGAUUCUGUCGUAUUGAAAGUCGAUUACUUAAGAUUAUCUUAUUGCAAUCUUAUAGUAAACAGUUACUAUUGUUCUUUUAAGCUUACUCCUAUCUUUACAAGUGAUAAGUCCUUUAUAAGCCUUCAAUAUCGGUAACAUAGUGCUCUAGAAAAGCUUUUUGUUCGCUACUACGUGAAGUUAAAAACGAAUAAUGUCUGAGCAUGGAGUGAACAAGCUAGUGAUGUAAAUAUUAUUAUGAAUUUCGUCCCAAUAAAUUGUCAAACGUUUA
Long non-coding RNA from Orbicella faveolata, 1246 nucleotides. RefSeq lists it as uncharacterized. NCBI's taxonomy places the organism in Eukaryota, Metazoa, Cnidaria, Anthozoa, Scleractinia, Merulinidae. The record is from RefSeq and is a predicted model, not a curated record.